CUUGGAGAAGUGGCAAGUCUUCCAGUAUGGGGAGCAAACAGCUAUGGGUCAAGCCCGACAUCUUUAGGAGAAGUCUUAUUGUGAGGGCGAGUUGUAAAACACCAUAGGGCUGGCCGUCCCAUAUGAAAAGAUUUUAUUAGAAUUGAAUGAAACUUUGUUUAUAUAUUGAUAAUGACAGUAUAUAUAUCGUGUCUUGACUAAUUGCGUGCCAGCAGUCGCGGUAAUACGUAAGAGACUAGUGUUAUUCAUCUUAAUUAGGUUUAAAGGGUACCCAGACGGUCAAUAUAGCUUAUAAAAUGUUAGUACUUGACUAGAGUUUUAUGUAAGAGGGCAGUACUUGAGGAGGAGAGAUGAAAUUUCGUGAUACCAAAGGGACUCUGUAAAGGCGAAGGCAGCCCUCUAUGUAAAAACUGACGUUGAAGGACGAAGGCACAGAGAACAAACAGGAUUAGAUACCCAAGUAGUCUUUGCAGUAAAUGAUGAAUGCCAUAGGUUAGAUUAAUAGUUAAUGUAUAUAGGCUAGUAUAAUAGACUAUACAUUAAAAAUUAUUUGGUCUAUAAAUGAAAGUGUAAGCAUUUCACCUCAAGAGUAAUGUGGCAACGCAGGAACUGAAAUCACUAGACCGUU
Molecule: ribosomal RNA, 628 nt
Filed under: Fusarium acuminatum
Lineage: Eukaryota; Fungi; Ascomycota; Sordariomycetes; Hypocreales; Nectriaceae
Description: SSU rRNA
Rfam family: Bacterial small subunit ribosomal RNA
Source: RNAcentral